CCUACGGGUGGCAGCAGUGAGGAAUCUUGGUCAAUGGGCGCAAGCCUGAACCAGCCAAGUAGCGUGAAGGAUGACUGCCCUACGGGUUGUAAACUUCUUUUAUAAAGGAAUAAAGUGAGGCACGUGUGCCUUUUUGUAUGUACUUUAUGAAUAAGGAUCGGCUAACUACGUGCCAGCCGCCGCGGUAAUACGGAGGAUCCGAGCGUUAUCCGUAUUUAUUGGGUUUAAAGGGAGCGUAGGUGGGUUGGUAAGUCAGUUGUGAAAGGUUGCGGCUCAACCGUAAAAUUGCAAUUGAUACUGGCAGUCUUGAGUACAGGUGAGGUAGGCGGAAUUCGUGGUGUAGCGGUGAAAUGCGUAGAUAUUACGAAGAACUCCGAUUGCGAAGGCAGCUUACUAAACUGCCACUGACAUUGAGGCUCGAAAGUGUGGGUAUCAAACAGGAUUAGAUACCCCAGUAGUC
Molecule: ribosomal RNA, 460 nt
Filed under: uncultured bacterium
Lineage: Bacteria
Description: partial 16S ribosomal RNA
Rfam family: Bacterial small subunit ribosomal RNA
Source: RNAcentral